RNAcentral lists this ribosomal RNA (732 nucleotides) under Atlantibacter hermannii. Its description in RNAcentral is "bacterial SSU rRNA". It matches the Rfam family "Bacterial small subunit ribosomal RNA", at positions 8 to 729 of the family's 1533-position model. Lineage: Bacteria; Pseudomonadati; Pseudomonadota; Gammaproteobacteria; Enterobacterales; Enterobacteriaceae. The record is from RNAcentral.
AGAGUNUGAUCCUGGCUCAGAUUGAACGCUGGCGGCAGGCCUAACACAUGCAAGUCGAACGGUAACAGGAAGCAGCUUGCUGCUUCGCUGACGAGUGGCGGACGGGUGAGUAAUGUCUGGGGAUCUGCCUGAUGGAGGGGGAUAACUACUGGAAACGGUAGCUAAUACCGCAUAACGUCGCAAGACCAAAGAGGGGGACCUUCGGGCCUCUUGCCAUCAGAUGAACCCAGAUGGGAUUAGCUAGUAGGUGGGGUAACGGCUCACCUAGGCGACGAUCCCUAGCUGGUCUGAGAGGAUGACCAGCCACACUGGAACUGAGACACGGUCCAGACUCCUACGGGAGGCAGCAGUGGGGAAUAUUGCACAAUGGGCGCAAGCCUGAUGCAGCCAUGCCGCGUGUAUGAAGAAGGCCUUCGGGUUGUAAAGUACUUUCAGCGGGGAGGAAGGCGAUGCGGUUAAUAACCGUGUCGAUUGACGUUACCCGCAGAAGAAGCACCGGCUAACUCCGUGCCAGCAGCCGCGGUAAUACGGAGGGUGCAAGCGUUAAUCGGAAUUACUGGGCGUAAAGCGCACGCAGGCGGUCUGUCAAGUCGGAUGUGAAAUCCCCGGGCUCAACCUGGGAACUGCAUCCGAAACUGGCAGGCUUGAGUCUUGUAGAGGGGGGUAGAAUNNCAGGUGUAGCGNNNAAAUGCGUAGAGAUCUGGAGGAAUACCGGUGGCGAAGGCGGCCCCC